This 253-nucleotide ribosomal RNA is filed under the name uncultured bacterium. Its description in RNAcentral is "partial 16S ribosomal RNA". It matches the Rfam family "Bacterial small subunit ribosomal RNA", at positions 524 to 776 of the family's 1533-position model. The record is from RNAcentral.
UACAGAGGGGGCAAGCGUUGUUCGGAAUUACUGGGCGUAAAGGGCGCGUAGGCGGCCUGUUAAGUCGGACGUGAAAUCCCUCGGCUCAACCGGGGAACUGCGUCCGAUACUGGCGGGCUUGAAUUCGGGAGAGGGAUGUGGAAUUCCAGGUGUAGCGGUGAAAUGCGUAGAUAUCUGGAGGAACACCGGUGGCGAAGGCGGCAUCCUGGACCGACAUUGACGCCGAGGCGCGAAAGCCAGGGGAGCAAACGGG